CACUAUCGUUAACUGAAUACAUAGGUUAACGAGGCGAACCGGGGGAACUGAAACAUCUAAGUACCCCGAGGAAAAGAAAUCAACCGAGAUUCCCCCAGUAGCGGCGAGCGAACGGGGAGCAGCCCAGAGUCUGAAUCAGCUUGUGUGUUAGUGGAACGGUCUGGAAAGUCCGACGGUACAGGGUGAUAGUCCCGUACACCAAAAUGCACAGGCUGUGAACUCGAAGAGUAGGGCGGGACACGUGGUAUCCUGUCUGAAUAUGGGGGGACCAUCCUCCAAGGCUAAAUACUCCUGACUGACCGAUAGUGAACCAGUACCGUGAGGGAAAGGCGAAAAGAACCCCGGCGAGGGGAGUGAAAAAGAACCUGAAACCGUGUACGUACAAGCAGUGGGAGCACCUUCGGGUGUGACUGCGUACCUUUUGUAUAAUGGGUCAGCGACUUAUAUUCUGUAGCAAGGUUAACCGUAUAGGGGAGCCGCAGGGAAACCGAGUCUUAACUGGGCGUUAAGUUGCAGGGUAUAGACCCGAAACCCGGUGAUCUAGCCAUGGGCAGGUUGAAGGUUGGGUAACACUAACUGGAGGACCGAACCGACUAAUGUUGAAAAAUUAGCGGAUGACUUGUGGCUGGGGGUGAAAGGCCAAUCAAACCGGGAGAUAGCUGGUUCUCCCCGAAAGCUAUUUAGGUAGCGCCUCGUGAACUCAUCUUCGGGGGUAGAGCACUGUUUCGGCUAGGGGGUCAUCCCGACUUACCAACCCGAUGCAAACUACGAAUACCGAAGAAUGUUAUCACGGGAGACACACGGCGGGUGCUAACGUCCGUCGUGAAGAGGGAAACAACCCAGACCGCCAGCUAAGGUCCCAAAGUCAUGGUUAAGUGGGAAACGAUGUGGGAAGGCACAGACAGCCAGGAUGUUGGCUUAGAAGCAGCCAUCAUUUAAAGAAAGCGUAAUAGCUCACUGGUCGAGUCGGCCUGCGCGGAAGAUGUAACGGGGCUAAACCAUGCACCGAAGCUGCGGCAGCGACACUAUGUGUUGUUGGGUAGGGGAGCGUUCUGUAAGCCUGCGAAGGUGACCUGUGAGGGUUGCUGGAGGUAUCAGAAGUGCGAAUGCUGACAUAAGUAACGAUAAAGCGGGUGAAAAGCCCGCUCGCCGGAAGACCAAGGGUUCCUGUCCAACGUUAAUCGGGGCAGGGUGAGUCGACCCCUAAGGCGAGGCCGAAAGGCGUAGUCGAUGGGAAACAGGUUAAUAUUCCUGUACUUGGUGUUACUGCGAAGGGGGGACGGAGAAGGCUAUGUUAGCCGGGCGACGGUUGUCCCGGUUUAAGCAUGUAGGCUGGUUAUCCAGGCAAAUCCGGAUAAUCAAGGCUGAGGUGUGAUGACGAGGCACUACGGUGCUGAAGUAACAAAUGCCCUGCUUCCAGGAAAAGCCUCUAAGCAUCAGGUAACAUUAAAUCGUACCCCAAACCGACACAGGUGGUCAGGUAGAGAAUACCAAGGCGCUUGAGAGAACUCGGGUGAAGGAACUAGGCAAAAUGGUGCCGUAACUUCGGGAGAAGGCACGCUGGUGUGUAGGUGAAGUCCCUGCGGAUGGAGCUGAGACCAGUCGAAGAUACCAGCUGGCUGCAACUGUUUAUUAAAAACACAGCACUGUGCAAACACGAAAGUGGACGUAUACGGUGUGACGCCUGCCCGGUGCCGGAAGGUUAAUUGAUGGGGUUAUCCGUAAGGAGAAGCUCUUGAUCGAAGCCCCGGUAAACGGCGGCCGUAACUAUAACGGUCCUAAGGUAGCGAAAUUCCUUGUCGGGUAAGUUCCGACCUGCACGAAUGGCGUAAUGAUGGCCAGGCUGUCUCCACCCGAGACUCAGUGAAAUUGAACUCGCUGUGAAGAUGCAGUGUACCCGCGGCAAGACGGAAAGACCCCGUGAACCUUUACUAUAGCUUGACACUGAACAUUGAGCCUUGAUGUGUAGGAUAGGUGGGAGGCUUUGAAGCGUGGACGCCAGUCUGCGUGGAGCCAACCUUGAAAUACCACCCUUUAAUGUUUGAUGUUCUAACGUUGGCCCCUGACCGGGGUUGCGGACAGUGUCUGGUGGGUAGUUUGACUGGGGCGGUCUCCUCCCAAAGCGUAACGGAGGAGCACGAAGGUUAGCUAAUCCUGGUCGGACAUCAGGAGGUUAGUGCAAUGGCAUAAGCUAGCUUGACUGCGAGCGUGACGGCGCGAGCAGGUGCGAAAGCAGGUCAUAGUGAUCCGGUGGUUCUGAAUGGAAGGGCCAUCGCUCAACGGAUAAAAGGUACUCCGGGGAUAACAGGCUGAUACCGCCCAAGAGUUCAUAUCGACGGCGGUGUUUGGCACCUCGAUGUCGGCUCAUCACAUCCUGGGGCUGAAGUAGGUCCCAAGGGUAUGGCUGUUCGCCAUUUAAAGUGGUACGCGAGCUGGGUUUAGAACGUCGUGAGACAGUUCGGUCCCUAUCUGCCGUGGGCGCUGGAGAAUUGAGGGGGGCUGCUCCUAGUACGAGAGGACCGGAGUGGACGCAUCACUGGUGUUCGGGUUGUCAUGCCAAUGGCACUGCCCGGUAGCUAAAUGCGGAAGAGAUAAGUGCUGAAAGCAUCUAAGCACGAAACUUGCCCCGAGAUGAGUUCUCCCUGAGACUUUAAGUCUCCUGAAGGAACGUUGAAGACGACGACGUUGAUAGGCCGGGUGUGUAAGCGCAGCGAUGCGUUGAGCUAACCGGUACUAAUGAACCGUGAGGCUUAACCUU
Molecule: ribosomal RNA, 2758 nt
Filed under: Klebsiella pneumoniae
Lineage: Bacteria; Pseudomonadati; Pseudomonadota; Gammaproteobacteria; Enterobacterales; Enterobacteriaceae
Description: bacterial LSU rRNA
Rfam family: Bacterial large subunit ribosomal RNA
Source: RNAcentral